AACAUCGCGCACCUGCGGGAACCUGCGGAGGGAUCAUUGAAGAACGCAGCCGGUCGCGCAUGCAGUGUGCGUGUACGUCGUGGGCCACGCUAUUUGUGCCAAUUAUUAUGGAGAGGGCGCUGGUGCUGGUGCUGGCUGGCUAACUGUGGUUGGUUGGUUGGCAGUGGCAGCAGUGGGAUGUUAUAGUAUGGAACGAUUGACUGAGUGAGAUGGAUGGCGGUAGUAGUAGCAGCAGUAGUA
This 240-nucleotide unclassified non-coding RNA is filed under the name soil metagenome. Its description in RNAcentral is "partial contains 5.8S ribosomal RNA, internal transcribed spacer 2, and large subunit ribosomal RNA". The record is from RNAcentral.